Molecule: transfer RNA, 76 nt
Filed under: Desulfobacula sp. GWF2_41_7
Lineage: Bacteria; Pseudomonadati; Thermodesulfobacteriota; Desulfobacteria; Desulfobacterales; Desulfobacteraceae
Also listed under: 1 other name
Description: tRNA-Val
Rfam family: tRNA
About the family: Transfer RNA (tRNA) molecules are approximately 80 nucleotides in length. Their secondary structure includes four short double-helical elements and three loops (D, anti-codon, and T loops).
Source: RNAcentral
GGGCGAUUAACUCAGUUGGUAGAGUGCAACCCUUACAAGGUUGAAGUCGCAGGUUCGAGCCCUGCAUCGCCCACCA